AAUGCUUGGAAAAUUGGGCAUGAGAUAGAGUGAACUGCAAUGGAGUGCGUGGUACAGGGGAUUAUUGAGACACAGGUUGGUUAUAUGUUGAUGAAGGGGAACCCAUUUUUUCCUAGUUUCACUUGCUGUGGAAAUUCAUAUUUUUGCCUUCAAUGGGUUUUUAAUGUAUCUGAGAAUUGUAGCAAUAUCGUGACUGAUUUGAAUUUGUUAGUUUGUAAGAAUGUGGCGAAGUUUUCAAUGAGAAAUCAAGUUGGUUAUAUGUCUUGCUUCAGGCAUGUUCAUUCUUUGUGCAUCUAUGUAUAUUCAUGCAUUUGUGUAUUCUUUUACACAUGGGCAGGUUUUGUUUGAACAAUAUAUUUCCCUCAGUUUUCUCUUUGGCUCAUUUAUUAAUUUACCAUUUUUACUCUAUUGGUUCUGCUCCCAAUUUUUUUCCGUUUUAAACUUGUGAUUAUUCUGUCAUCAUAAAGUGAGGGUUGCUGAUUUACAGUAAUGAUGUGGAUUGGAUUUGUUACAGAUAAUGAUUAUUUCCCCAAAUG
This 536-nucleotide unclassified non-coding RNA is filed under the name Hevea brasiliensis (rubber tree). The record is from RNAcentral. Lineage: Eukaryota; Viridiplantae; Streptophyta; Magnoliopsida; Malpighiales; Euphorbiaceae.